GAUGAACGCUAGCUACAGGCUUAACACAUGCAAGUCGAGGGGCAGCAUUUUAGUUUGCUUGCAAACUAAAGAUGGCGACCGGCGCACGGGUGAGUAACACGUAUCCAACCUGCCGAUAACUCGGGGAUAGCCUUUCGAAAGAAAGAUUAAUAUCCGAUGGUAUAUUAAAACCGCAUGGUUUUACUAUUAAAGAAUUUCGGUUAUCGAUGGGGAUGCGUUCCAUUAGUUUGUUGGCGGGGUAACGGCCCACCAAGACUACGAUGGAUAGGGGUUCUGAGAGGAAGGUCCCCCACAUUGGAACUGAGACACGGUCCAAACUCCUACGGGAGGCAGCAGUGAGGAAUAUUGGUCAAUGGACGAGAGUCUGAACCAGCCAAGUAGCGUGAAGGAUGACUGCCCUAUGGGUUGUAAACUUCUUUUAUAUGGGAAUAAAGUAUUCCACGUGUGGGAUUUUGUAUGUACCAUAUGAAUAAGGAUCGGCUAACUCCGUGCCAGCAGCCGCGGUAAUACGGAGGAUCCGAGCGUUAUCCGGAUUUAUUGGGUUUAAAGGGAGCGUAGGUGGAUUGUUAAGUCAGUUGUGAAAGUUUGCGGCUCAACCGUAAAAUUGCAGUUGAAACUGGCAGUCUUGAGUACAGUAGAGGUGGGUGGAAUUCGUGGUGUAGCGGUGAAAUGCUUAGAUAUCACGAAGAACUCCGAUUGCGAAGGCAGCUCACUAGACUGCAACUGACACUGAUGCUCGAAAGUGUGGGUAUCAAACAGGAUUAGAUACCCUGGUAGUCCACACAGUAAACGAUGAAUACUCGCUGUUUGCGAUAUACAGUAAGCGGCCAAGCGAAAGCAUUAAGUAUUCCACCUGGGGAGUACGCCGGCAACGGUGAAACUCAAAGGAAUUGACGGGGGCCCGCACAAGCGGAGGAACAUGUGGUUUAAUUCGAUGAUACGCGAGGAACCUUACCCGGGCUUAAAUUGCAUUUGAAUAAUCUGGAAACAGGUUAGCCGCAAGGCAAAUGUGGAGGUGCUGCAUGGUUGUCGUCAGCUCGUGCCGUGAGGUGUCGGCUUAAGUGCCAUAACGAGCGCAACCCUUAUCUUUAGUUACUAACAGGUCAUGCUGAGGACUCUAGAGAGACUGCCGUCGUAAGAUGUGAGGAAGGUGGGGAUGACGUCAAAUCAGCACGGCCCUUACGUCCGGGGCUACACACGUGUUACAAUGGGGGGUACAGAAGGCAGCUACCUGGUGACAGGAUGCUAAUCCCAAAAACCUCUCUCAGUUCGGAUCGAAGUCUGCAACCCGACUUCGUGAAGCUGGAUUCGCUAGUAAUCGCGCAUCAGCCAUGGCGCGGUGAAUACGUUCCCGGGCCU
RNAcentral lists this ribosomal RNA (1359 nucleotides) under uncultured bacterium. RNAcentral describes it as "bacterial SSU rRNA". It matches the Rfam family "Bacterial small subunit ribosomal RNA", at positions 28 to 1381 of the family's 1533-position model. The record is from RNAcentral.